UGCGCAGGCGGAAGAAUAAGUCAGUGGUGAAAUACUGCCGCUCAACGGUAGGGCUGCCAUUGAUACUGUUUUUCUUGAGUAUGGUCGAGGUAGGCGGAAUGUGCGGUGUAGCGGUGAAAUGCAUAGAUAUCGCCCAGAACGCCGAUUGCGAAGGCAGCUUACUAAACCAUUACUGACGCUGAGGCACGAAAGCGUGGGUAGCGAACAGGAUUAGAUACCCUGGUAGUCC
Molecule: ribosomal RNA, 229 nt
Filed under: uncultured bacterium
Lineage: Bacteria
Description: partial 16S ribosomal RNA
Rfam family: Bacterial small subunit ribosomal RNA
Source: RNAcentral